ACAGCAGCCGCCGCGGUAAUACGAAGGGUGCAAGCGUUACUCGGAAUUACUGGGCGUAAAGCGUGCGUAGGUGGUGGUUUAAGUCCGUUGUGAAAGCCCUGGGCUCAACCUGGGAAUUGCAGUGGAUACUGGGUCACUAGAGUGUGGUAGAGGAUAGUGGAAUUUCCGGUGUAGCAGUGAAAUGCGUAGAGAUCGGAAGGAACAUCUGUGGCGAAGGCGACUAUCUGGGCCAACACUGACACUGAGGCACGAAAGCGUGGGGAGCAAACAGGAUUAGAGACCCCCGUAGUCCCUGUCUCUUAUAA
Molecule: ribosomal RNA, 305 nt
Filed under: uncultured bacterium
Lineage: Bacteria
Description: partial 16S ribosomal RNA
Rfam family: Bacterial small subunit ribosomal RNA
Source: RNAcentral